Molecule: long non-coding RNA, 102 nt
Organism: Gopherus flavomarginatus (Mexican gopher tortoise)
Lineage: Eukaryota; Metazoa; Chordata; Testudines; Testudinidae
Exons: 3
Source: RefSeq, a predicted model, not a curated record
CAGGGGAUGAGAUGAGGAUGAGGUGAAGGGGGCGCACAGGGGUGUACAUGGGGUGGGUGCGCAGAGGUAGGGGAGGAUGGAGGCGCGCAGGGGAUGAGAUGA